RNAcentral lists this ribosomal RNA (323 nucleotides) under Myophonus caeruleus. Its description in RNAcentral is "partial large subunit ribosomal RNA". It matches the Rfam family "Bacterial large subunit ribosomal RNA", at positions 2031 to 2516 of the family's 2925-position model. Lineage: Eukaryota; Metazoa; Chordata; Aves; Passeriformes; Muscicapidae. The record is from RNAcentral.
AAUCGGUGAAAUUGAUCUCCCUGUGCAAAAGCAGGGAUAAACCCAUAAGACGAGAAGACCCGUGGAACUUCAAAAUCAGCAACCAUCCCAUAUUACAUAAACACCCACCGGGCCCACUAGCACAUGGGCACUGGCUUGCAUUUUUUCGGUUGGGGCGACCUUGGAGAAAAAACAAAUCCUCCAAAAAUUAGACCUUACCUCUAGACUAAGAGCGACGGCUCAACGUGCUAAUAGCAACCAGACCCAAUAUAAUUGAUCAAUGGACCAAGCUACCCCAGGGAUAACAGCGCAAUCUCCUUUAAGAGUCCAUAUCGACAAGGAGG